ACCAGACUCCUACGGGAGGCAGCAGUGGGGAAUAUUGCACAAUGGGGGAAACCCUGAUGCAGCGACGCCGCGUGAGCGAUGAAGUAUUUCGGUAUGUAAAGCUCUAUCAGCAGGGAAGAAAAUGACGGUACCUGAUGAAUAAGCUCCGGCUAACUACGUGCCAGCAGCCGCGGUAAUACGUAGGGAGCAAGCGUUAUCCGGAUUUACUGGGUGUAAAGGGCGCGUAGGCGGGAUGGCAAGUCAGAUGUGAAAUCCAAGGGCUCAACCCUUGAACUGCAUUUGAAACUGUCGUUCUUGAGUACUGGAGAGGUUGACGGAAUUCCUAGUGUAGCGGUGAAAUGCGUAGAUAUUAGGAGGAACACCAGUGGCGAAGGCGGCCUACUGGACGGUGACUGACGCUGAGGCUCGAAAGCGUGGGGAGCAAACAGGAUUAGAUACCCUAGUAC
This 446-nucleotide ribosomal RNA is filed under the name uncultured bacterium. RNAcentral's name for it is "partial 16S ribosomal RNA". It matches the Rfam family "Bacterial small subunit ribosomal RNA", at positions 330 to 793 of the family's 1533-position model. The record is from RNAcentral.